Molecule: ribosomal RNA, 492 nt
Filed under: uncultured bacterium
Lineage: Bacteria
Description: partial 16S ribosomal RNA
Rfam family: Bacterial small subunit ribosomal RNA
Source: RNAcentral
AGUGAACGCUGGCGGUAGGCCUAACACAUGCAAGUCGAACGGCAGCACAGUAAGAGCUUGCUCUUACGGGUGGCGAGUGGCGGACGGGUGAGGAAUACAUCGGAAUCUACUUUUUCGUGGGGGAUAACGUAGGGAAACUUACGCUAAUGCCGCAUACGACCUACGGGUGAAAGCAGUGGAUCUUCGGACCUUGCGCGAUUGAAUGAGCCGAUGUCGGAUUUGCUAGUUGGCGGGGUAAAGGCCCACCAAGGCGACGAUCCGUAGCCGGUCUGAGAGGAUGGUCGGCCACACUGGAACGUAGACACGGUCCAGGCGCCUACGAGAGGCAGCAGUGGGGAACAUGGGGCAAUGGGCGCAAGCCUGACCCAGCCAUACCGCGUGGGUGAAGAAGGCCUUCGGUUUGUAAAGCCCUUUUUUUGGGAAAGAAAAGCUGUCGGCUAAUACCCCGCUGUUGUGACGGUACCGAAUGAAGAAGCACCGGCUAACUACGUG